AGCAGCCGCGGUAAUUCCAGCUCCAAUAGCGUAUAUUAAAGUUGUUGCAGUUAAAAAGCUCGUAGUUGAAUUUCGGGAUCAAUUUAUCGGUCGUGCCUAUGGUAUGAACUGGUACAAUUGGUUUCUCCCUUCUGACGAAGCAUGAUGUCAUUAAUUUGGUGUCGUGGGGAAUCAGGACUGUUACUUUGAAAAAAUUAGAGUGUUUAAAGCAAGCAUUAGCUUGAAUACAUUAGCAUGGAAUAAUGAAAUAGGACGUUUGAUCCUAUUUCGUUGGUUUCCAGGAUCGACGUAAUGAUUAAUAGGGAUAGUUGGGGGCAUUAGUAUUCAAUUGUCAGAGGUGAAAUUCUUGGAUUUAUUGAAGACUAACUACUGCGAAAGCAUUUGCCAAGGAUGUUUUCAUUAAUCAAGAACGAAAGUUAGGGGAUCGAAGACGAUCAGAUACCGUCGUAGUCUUAACCAUAAACUAUGCCGACUAGGGAUCGGAUGAUGUUAAUUUUUUAAUGACUCA
RNAcentral lists this ribosomal RNA (508 nucleotides) under uncultured fungus. RNAcentral's name for it is "SSU rRNA". It matches the Rfam family "Eukaryotic small subunit ribosomal RNA", at positions 569 to 1078 of the family's 1831-position model. Lineage: Eukaryota; Fungi. The record is from RNAcentral.